Molecule: ribosomal RNA, 501 nt
Filed under: uncultured bacterium
Lineage: Bacteria
Description: partial 16S ribosomal RNA
Rfam family: Bacterial small subunit ribosomal RNA
Source: RNAcentral
AUUGAACGCUGGCGGCAGGCUUAACACAUGCAAGUCGAGCGGGGGAAGGUAGCUUGCUACCGGACCUAGCGGCGGACGGGUGAGUAAUGCUUAGGAAUCUGCCUAUUAGUAGGGGACAACAUCUCGAAAGGGAUGCUAAUACCGCAUACGUCCUACGGGAGAAAGCAGGGGAUCUUCGGACCUUGCGCUAGUAGAUGAGCCUAAGUCGGAUUAGCUAGUUGGUGGGGUAAAGGCCUACCAAGGCGACGAUCUGUAGCGGGUCUGAGAGGAUGAUCCGCCACACUGGGACUGAGACACGGCCCAGACGCCUACGGGAGGCAGCAGUGGGGAAUAUUGGACAAUGGGGGGAACCCUGAUCCAGCCAUGCCGCGUGUGUGAAGAAGGCCUUAUGGUUGUAAAGCACUUUAAGCGAGGAGGAGGCUACUCUAGUUAAUACCUAGGGAUAGUGGACGUUACUCGCAGAAUAAGCACCGGCUAACUCUGUGCCAGCAGCCGCCGUAA